UGGGGAAUUUUGGACAAUGGGCGAAAGCCUGAUCCAGCAAUGCCGCGUGUGUGAAGAAGGCCUUCGGGUUGUAAAGCACUUUUGUCCGGAAAGAAAUCCUUGGCUCUAAUACAGUCGGGGGAUGACGGUACCGGAAGAAUAAGCACCGGCUAACUACGUGCCAGCAGCCGCGGUAAUACGUAGGGUGCAAGCGUUAACCGGAAUUACUGGGCGUAAAGCGUGCGCAGGCGGUUUGCUAAGACCGAUGUGAAAUCCCCGGGCUCAACCUGGGAACUGCAUUGGUGACUGGCAGGCUAGAGUAUGGCAGAGGGGGGUAGAAUUCCACGUGUAGCAGUGAAAUGCGUAGAGAUGUGGAGGAAUACCGAUGGCGAAGGCAGCCCCCUGGGCCAAAUACUGACGCUCAUGCACGAAAGCGUGGGGAGCAAACAGGAUUAGAUACCCUGGUAGUCCACGCCCUAAACGAUGUCAACUAGUUGUUGGGGAUUCAUUUCCUAGUAACGUAGCUAACGCGUGAAGUUGACCGCCUGGGGAGUACGGUCGCAAGAUU
This 547-nucleotide ribosomal RNA is filed under the name uncultured bacterium. RNAcentral's name for it is "partial 16S ribosomal RNA". It matches the Rfam family "Bacterial small subunit ribosomal RNA", at positions 355 to 895 of the family's 1533-position model. The record is from RNAcentral.